GCUCUUCUAGCUCAGUGGUUAGAGCAGUGGUCUAGUAGACCAGGGGUUGAGAGUUCAAUACUCUCUGGGGGCA
RNAcentral lists this transfer RNA (73 nucleotides) under Fasciola hepatica (liver fluke). It matches the Rfam family "tRNA". Rfam says of the family: Transfer RNA (tRNA) molecules are approximately 80 nucleotides in length. The record is from Rfam by way of RNAcentral. Lineage: Eukaryota; Metazoa; Platyhelminthes; Trematoda; Plagiorchiida; Fasciolidae.